RNAcentral lists this ribosomal RNA (646 nucleotides) under uncultured archaeon. Its description in RNAcentral is "bacterial SSU rRNA". It matches the Rfam family "Archaeal small subunit ribosomal RNA", at positions 165 to 813 of the family's 1478-position model. The record is from RNAcentral.
GGAUGCUGGAAUGCUCCAUGGCUGAAAGCUCCGGCGCCUGAGGAUGGGUCUGCGGCCUAUCAGGUAGUAGUUGGGGUAACGGCCCAACUAGCCUAAAACGGGUACGGGCCUUGAGCGAGGAAGCCCGGAGAUGGACUCUGAGACACGAGUCCAGGCCCUACGGGGCGCAGCAGUCGCGAAAACUUCACACUGCGGGAAACCGUGAUGAGGGAACCCCAAGUGCCCAGGCGUUAGUCUGGGCUGUUCACAUGCCUAAAAAGCAUGUGAAGUAAGGGCUGGGUAAGACCGGUGCCAGCCGCCGCGGUAAUACCGGCAGCCCAAGUGGUGAUCCCUAUUAUUGAGCCUAAAACGUCCGUAGCCGGCCCGGCAAAUCUCUGGGCAAAUCGGGCAGCUUAACUGUUCGAAUUCUGGAGAGACUACCGGGCUUGAGACCGGGAGAGGCCAGAGGUACGUCAGGGGUAGGGGUAAAAUCCUUUAAUCCUUGACGGACCACCGGUGGCGAAGGCGUCUGGCUAGAACGGAUCUGACGGUAAGGGACGAAGGCUAGGGGCGCAAACCGGAUUAGAUACCCGGGUAGUCCUAGCUGUAAACGCUGCAGGCUUGGUGUUGGAACUCCUUAGAGGGGUUCCAGCGCCGUAGCGAAGGU